This is a long non-coding RNA of Oncorhynchus keta (chum salmon), 1887 nucleotides long. RefSeq lists it as uncharacterized. The transcript is spliced from 3 exons. The record is from RefSeq and is a predicted model, not a curated record. NCBI's taxonomy places the organism in Eukaryota, Metazoa, Chordata, Actinopteri, Salmoniformes, Salmonidae.
UUGGUGUUACGCACGCCUCUAGGAAGAGGGAACGCAACACCCUGCUACAACUCAACUCCCCGUGGAGUGAAAGAGGUAUGGGACUGUAGGUGCAAGUAAGGAUGACAACGGCAGAGAAUUAACCUUUUACAGGAAAUUUAUUCAGUCACACGGUAAUUUUGGAAAAAGGGGCUGGACGGAACCAAAGCGGAGAAAGUUCAAGUUAAAGAUCCCCCUCUCCUACUUUACCUACCCACAACUUACCUAACAGGCAGCACCUGGCGCACCAACCAAAAUACAGGGGAUGGUCCAGACGGGUCUUACCAAGUGAGCAUAGACAAAGUACAUACUCGGGUAUAUUUAUGCCCGCAGGUCGCUUGCCUAAGCACUCCCUUCCCCCCUGGGAACAAAUUAAAACGAAUACAAACAUAAGUAAACCAUUUCAAUAAUCAAAAACACUGCGUCCUAUGGGGACCUGUCUCUGAGCAACAACCAACACAGAACAUAACCAUCAGCUCUCUCUCCUAACAAACGAACACUGGCUUUUAAAGCUUCAGAAGGAGUCGAUAAUUGAAGACAGCUGUAUCUCCUGAUUAGAGGGCGGGGUCAGAUCUCCAAUCAUUGAUGGGGCCUGAAACACACAUCCAAUCAAAACCACAACGCAGAAACUGGGGAACAUAACAAUUUGUUUGUUUCAGUGUGUUGUUCCACUCUCUUUACCAUCUGACACUUUGUCCCUGUUGAUCUACAUACCUACCCUGCUUCUGGAGACCCGGGGAGUCUCCUGACCAGAGGGCUUUGACUCCCCAGGAACGUCUUCACCGCUGGGUUGUCCCAAUCCUGUUGGUCUGAGACCACUGAUGUCUACUCUCUUAAUAGGAACGAGGAGCUCUAAAGUAGCUGAAACCACCUCUCGGAUUGGGUAUUGCCUCACUUGAAAGCCUGGAGCCAAUCGUUCCAGUCUGGUUAUAAUCACUAUGACAACCCUGGAUACCUGUCAGUUACGAGUUCUACCUCUGUCUCGUGUGCUAGUUUGCCUAAUUUGUCUAAUUUGCUUGAUUUUGCAUUGGAUUGGUUUGUUUGAGUAUUGGUCCACUCUCUUUACCAUCUGUCACGUUAUCCUUGUUGAUCCACAAAGUCACCCUGUGUCUGGACUCCUAACUCCAGCAGAGCAGGGAGCCCCAAGCAGUCCAACAGCUCCAGGGAGACUCUUAACCAGAGGACUUGGACUCCCCAGGACUGUCCCCAUUGCUUUUUAACUCCUGAGGAUGAUGUGUUGUACUAGUUAAAUAAAAUGUAACAUGUGAACAACCACCAGGUUCUUCCUGGAGUCCCGGGACAUUCCCCGCCGCUCUGCAACUCAUGUGGACAAUGAAGAGGCCCAGGACUUCAGAUGGGCUUUGCUUCUCCAGUUGAGAUCUCUGGAGAAGAGUUGAGUCUCAGUCCAACAAUAGGAAGAAGUGCCACUGCCUGGGGUGUGACGCAGAGGACUGCCCUGCCAGGAAGAGAGCCAUGAAUGAAUGUCCAAUUGGCUCUCAUGGGGCCAUGAGGCACAUUAAUAGAAAAACAAAAUAGGCACGAGUAUAGAGCUGGGCCACAGUACAACUAGACGUUCAUAAUAAAAUAUUGUGACAUGUUUUCCCUUUGAUUUCUGCCUGAGAAAUGCCAUCCAAUACAAUAACUACAACACCUCAAUCCAAUGCAGGAUUAUCUUAAUAAAAAGGUCAAUGUUUUUUCUAUUAAACUACAAAAAUGAUUUUUGACUAGGCAUAACUACACAAUACUGUUCAAAUGAUAUAAUAAUUUAUCUUUAUUUUGUCUGAUGAAUAAAGGUUUGAUAUGUGUGUGUAUCAGGAUUUGGGAGUAACUCAUUUCAUGUAAUCCAGUUACAUGUAAUCUGAUGUUUUU